CUGAUCUCUCCCUAACGUCGGCAAUUAGUAGUUAUACUUCUGCGGCCCGCUACAGCGCGACUGUUUCUCUUUCCUUUGCUCCAGCCGUGGUGAGGAGACGCGUGAGUGCAUCCGCCGUGCAGUACAGCGCCUCCAAGUUCUGGGGGUUUGAUUGCUGCCGUGCCCUCUCGGGGACCAACCGCCUGCUUUGGCUACGUAGAGAGUCGGGCACCUGUCCUGCUGCUGUCUUGUUUUGUUGAUUUUGUUAUAUUACGGUUAAACUGUCGGCGGCCCAGUUUUCCCCUGUAGCUUGCCUUUCCAUGCCCUUUUGGAUUAUUGUUCGCUCCAGCUUUUGUGGCUGGCCAGGGCGAUUCUCGGCCAUACACUGGGCCGGUUAUACGAACUGGUACUGCCUUUCCCCUUUCUCCCAGCUGUGGGAAGUUGUGUGAGACCGAGCAGACCAAGGAUAAUCGGACCCAGCACCAGCUGUGGGCUGGUUUGCCGUGUGAAAGUAUUUUUAAUCAGUGCUCUGUGGUGUAUAACUGGGCGUGUUGUAUCACCGACUUUUGUUUUCCUUUAAUUGUUUCUUUCUUUUGUUUUCUAGGUUGAGAGCUUGUUUAUGUCCCAUGUUUUUAUCCUUUUUAAUGUGUUUAUCUCGUGCUUUUAUUUCAGCGAACUGAGGAUCUACCAGCGGCCGUGGGACCUCAGGUGGUGGGUCGUUUUCCACACUUCUUUUGUUGUACAGCACCAGGUGAAUAGACUGUAGUAGUUUUUUUUUUUUGUGUGGUUCUUUUGGUCCACCGCUGCUGGUAAGUCCCAGUUGUAUUUAUUUUUAUUGUAAUUUGGGACACCGUUUUAGAUAUUCAGUGCGCUGUUGUUUUGUUUUUCAUUUUACAUUAAUAAAUAAAAUUGUGUUUAUAUUUGAGUUGGCCUCAGUGUGCAUCCCUGAACCUGUGCGAGCGUUGUUUUAAUUACAUUUUAUUUUUUCAUAUUUCCUGGGGGCUAGAAUUUCCCCCCAGGUGGCGUUGUCAUUUUUAUUAUUUCUUUUAGAACCCCGCCGACCACUUGGUCACAGGUGGUUAAGCUCACACCACUCGACAAAGCUGUCCACCACACUCCUGUACUCCUCCUCCUGUCCAUCCCUGAUACAGCCCACAAUGGCAGAGUCAUCAGAGAAUUUCUGCAGAUGGCAUGACUGAGACUUGGAUCUGAAGUCAGACGUGUAGAGGGUGAAGAGGAAGGGUGAUAGGACCGUCCCCUGUGGCGCUCCCGUGCUGCUCAUGAUGUUGUCCCAGUGGCAGCCCCUCGGCUGAACAUGUUGUGGUCGACUUGUUAAAGAGUCCAUGAUCAAAGCUACCAGUGAUGCAUUCACCUGCAUUUCCACGAGCUUAUGCCCCAGCAACGAUGGUUGACAUGUGAAGUCAGGGCCACUGGCCUGUAGUCACUGGGGGUCGAUGGUUUAGUCUUUUUAGGGACGGGAUACAGGCAGGAUGUCUUCCAGAGUGACGGAACCCUCUGCAGUUUCAGACUCAUGUUGAAGAUCCGAUGUAGAACUCCAGACAGCUGGGAAGCACAGCACCUGAGGGCCCUAGGACUGACACCAUCCGGGCCAGCAGCUUUACUGGAGUGGAGUCUGCCCAAUUCCCUCUUGAUGUUAUCUUCUGAAAGGGACAGGUCUGUCAGGCUGUCUGAUCACAGAGGAAGGCUGUACUUCUCUGGCCUCA
Long non-coding RNA from Oreochromis niloticus (Nile tilapia), 1703 nucleotides. RefSeq lists it as uncharacterized. The transcript is spliced from 3 exons. The record is from RefSeq and is a predicted model, not a curated record. NCBI's taxonomy places the organism in Eukaryota, Metazoa, Chordata, Actinopteri, Cichliformes, Cichlidae.